CAAAAUAGAACUUGAUAAAGUAAUUCAUUUACACUGAAUAUAAGCUGUGAAAAUCAGUUAUUUUGA
RNAcentral lists this transfer RNA (66 nucleotides) under Choroterpides apiculata (nomen nudum). RNAcentral's name for it is "tRNA-Val". Lineage: Eukaryota; Metazoa; Arthropoda; Insecta; Diptera; Culicidae. The record is from RNAcentral.